UGAGGAAUUUUCCGCAAUGGGCGCAAGCCUGACGGAGCGACGCCGCGUGAGGGAUGAAGGCCUUCGGGUCGUAAACCUCUUUUGUGGGGGAAAAAGGCGCAAGCUUGAUGGUACUCCACGAAUAAGCCCCGGCUAACUACGUGCCAGCAGCCGCGGUAAUACGUAGGGGGCGAGCGUUGUCCGGAAUUACUGGGCGUAAAGGGCGUGUAGGCGGUUGGAAAAGUCUGGUGUGAAAUACUUGAGCUUAACUUGAGUGCUGCGCUGGAUACUUUCUGACUGGAGUUCGGAAGGGGCAACUGGAAUUCCCGGUGUAACGGUGAAAUGUGUAGAUAUCGGGAGGAACACCUGUGGCGAAGGCGGGUUGCUGGUCCGAUACUGACGCUGAGACGCGAAAGCGUGGGGAGCAAACAGG
RNAcentral lists this ribosomal RNA (412 nucleotides) under uncultured bacterium. RNAcentral's name for it is "bacterial SSU rRNA". It matches the Rfam family "Bacterial small subunit ribosomal RNA", at positions 355 to 776 of the family's 1533-position model. The record is from RNAcentral.